RNAcentral lists this ribosomal RNA (426 nucleotides) under uncultured bacterium. RNAcentral describes it as "partial 16S ribosomal RNA". It matches the Rfam family "Bacterial small subunit ribosomal RNA", at positions 354 to 772 of the family's 1533-position model. The record is from RNAcentral.
UGGGGGAAUUUUGGACAAUGGGCGAAAGCCUGAUCCAGCAAUGCCGCGUGUGUGAAGAAGGCCUUCGGGUUGUAAAGCACUUUUGUCCGGAAAGAAAUCCUUGGCUCUAAUACAGUCGGGGGAUGACGGUACCGGAAGAAUAAGCACCGGCUAACUACGUGCCAGCAGCCGCGGUAAUACGUAGGGUGCAAGCGUUAAUCGGAAUUACUGGGCGUAAAGCGUGCGCAGGCGGUUUGCUAAGACCGAUGUGAAAUCCCCGGGCUCAACCUGGGAACUGCAUUGGUGACUGGGCAGGCUAGAGUAUGGCAGAGGGGGGUAGAAUUCCACGUGUAGCAGUGAAAUGCGUAGAGAUGUGAGGAAUACCGAUGGCGAAGGCAGCCCCCUGGGCCAAUACUGACGCUCAUGCACGAAAGCGUGGGGAGCAAA